Molecule: ribosomal RNA, 954 nt
Filed under: Pediococcus pentosaceus
Lineage: Bacteria; Bacillati; Bacillota; Bacilli; Lactobacillales; Lactobacillaceae
Description: bacterial SSU rRNA
Rfam family: Bacterial small subunit ribosomal RNA
Source: RNAcentral
UGGGGAUAACACCUGGAAACAGAUGCUAAUACCGUAUAACAGAGAAAACCGCAUGGUUUUCUUUUAAAAGAUGGCUCUGCUAUCACUUCUGGAUGGACCCGCGGCGUAUUAGCUAGUUGGUGAGGUAAAGGCUCACCAAGGCAGUGAUACGUAGCCGACCUGAGAGGGUAAUCGGCCACAUUGGGACUGAGACACGGCCCAGACUCCUACGGGAGGCAGCAGUAGGGAAUCUUCCACAAUGGACGCAAGUCUGAUGGAGCAACGCCGCGUGAGUGAAGAAGGGUUUCGGCUCGUAAAGCUCUGUUGUUAAAGAAGAACGUGGGUAAGAGUAACUGUUUACCCAGUGACGGUAUUUAACCAGAAAGCCACGGCUAACUACGUGCCAGCAGCCGCGGUAAUACGUAGGUGGCAAGCGUUAUCCGGAUUUAUUGGGCGUAAAGCGAGCGCAGGCGGUCUUUUAAGUCUAAUGUGAAAGCCUUCGGCUCAACCGAAGAAGUGCAUUGGAAACUGGGAGACUUGAGUGCAGAAGAGGACAGUGGAACUCCAUGUGUAGCGGUGAAAUGCGUAGAUAUAUGGAAGAACACCAGUGGCGAAGGCGGCUGUCUGGUCUGCAACUGACGCUGAGGCUCGAAAGCAUGGGUAGCGAACAGGAUUAGAUACCCUGGUAGUCCAUGCCGUACACGAUGAUUACUAAGUGUUGGAGGGUUUCCGCCCUUCAGUGCUGCAGCUAACGCAUUAAGUAAUCCGCCUGGGGAGUACGACCGCAAGGUUGAAACUCAAAAGAAUUGACGGGGGCCCGCACAAGCGGUGGAGCAUGUGGUUUAAUUCGAAGCUACGCGAAGAACCUUACCAGGUCUUGACAUCUUCUGACAGUCUAAGAGAUUAGAGGUUCCCUUCGGGGACAGAAUGACAGGUGGUGCAUGGUUGUCGUCAGCUCGUGUCGUGAGAUGUUGG